UGCGGAUUGAUGUAAUAGUAGCAUAUUUGGCUCAUGCCCAAAACCGGAAAGGUGCGAAUCCUUUAUCCGCUU
Aplosporella prunicola CBS 121167 is the source of this 72-nucleotide non-coding RNA. The record is from the annotation of a RefSeq genome assembly. NCBI's taxonomy places the organism in Eukaryota, Fungi, Ascomycota, Dothideomycetes, Botryosphaeriales, Aplosporellaceae.